RNAcentral lists this ribosomal RNA (17 nucleotides) under Melhania lisae. Its description in RNAcentral is "Paramelhania decaryana partial 26S ribosomal RNA". Lineage: Eukaryota; Viridiplantae; Streptophyta; Magnoliopsida; Malvales; Malvaceae. The record is from RNAcentral. RNAcentral also lists the same sequence under 2 other names.
GCGACCCCAGGUCAGAC